CACCAUUCAGCUGUUAGCUGAACCAGGAGGACCCGCAAGGUCACCGCAACAGCCUGGAGGAACGCGUGCAAAAGCAUCACCUCUUAGAAAUAAUCCCUAGCAGCCCAUCGACAGUUUAUAUUAUAUCUACACCCGAGGUGCUGACAGGAUUGGUUCACCUUUACAGUGGUUCCUGUAGCCUUUGGCCGUUAGCUCAACUGUGUUCUUUUCCUGGCAUGGCUCCGGUGAGGCGUUUAUCCAAACCAGCUUAUCGCCUUCACUCUUCACAAGACCUUCUGGGGCUUCAGCCGGUGACCUUCAGACUAACAUACUAACCACUUUGCCCACGACUGCACCGAGUACUGUAACCAAAAGCUUCUGCCAGAGCCCGCUGUUCGCUGGCACGUCCCUGCCAUUCAGACUGGGGGGUUAUAAUCCAGUUGUCAACACUCACUCAUAGCCCAGGACGGCAGAAUGGAUUUCCCAGAGUUUCCGCAGUCUCUACACAGCACAUUCAGCGACUGAAGCCAAAGCUGAGGGCCUGCAUUCACCAGCACGCCGUCGGCAUCAGCAGCCACUCGGACGAUUGUUCCGGCAUGUUGACGACGGUUGGCUGUUUCUGCCGUGGCUCGCGGCGGCCGUGUGCUUAUCCGGCAAAAUGCACAGAUGGAAGAAACUGAGCCCACCCCUUCCCUUCUGCUGUCCUGUCUGUUUCCACAUUUCAUCCUUGAACAACACUAAACAAGGGGCUCCGAUAAAGGCGGAGAGCACAACAUGAGCGCAUGAGCCAAGACCCCCCCCGAUGGGACCUCAGAGGGGUGGUGCUUGCCGGACACGGAGGAGCUGGAGGUGGGAGAGCCUCUGGGAACAGUGCGGCGACGAAGGGGUCUUGCUCUGAAGAUCUGUGUGUGUCUGUGUGUGUGUGUGGGCGUGCAUGUCCGCAUGCGUGCCCUCCAUUCCCAGGCAGGGGAAGGAUUCUUGUCAUCCCUCGCAUACUUCCCCCGCGCAGGGCUCCGCCCUCCCCCUAACCCUGCGCGGGCCGAUGCAAGGCCAGCCCCGGUGUGCCACGGUAUCAGCGGUUCCCAAGAACUGCCCGGCCUGGGAAAAGCUUGAUGGAGCAGUUCCAAGAUCAGCAUUACAUGCAUUAUUGUUCUUACCCUCUGCGAGUCGCCGGCACACAAUGAAAACAGCAGCGGCUGCCACAGUCUCAGGCCCUCCUCCCUGCACAGGGCACUCUCCCGUCAGGCUCUCUCUCAAGCCACUGUUUUUUGUUCAUUUCAAAAAAGCAUUAAGUUAACUGCUUCAUGGCUUUGAAGGCCUGCUUCCCUGUGCAUGGCACAAAAAAACAGCACUGGUUACGGGGUGGUUGUCGGUUCAAGUUACCAGGUGGUUGUUGGCUCAGAUCCCGAUUUGAAAACGAACCUCACCGUCUUCAUUAAAGCAAGACAGUAAAUGUGAUCAGUUAAGCAUGACUUUGGAAGCACUUCUGGAAAAGUGUUGCAUGGGAAAUGAUUGUUCUUAUUAAUAUGGAGAUUAGGAUGCUCUGUUCUUGAAUGCCAGCUAACUCCAUCUAACCUCCAGUUCACUUCAAGCCAGCGGCAGUAAGCGAAGUGAUCCGUACUCAGUAAGAGAACCGCUGUGUCGGGCGCCGUGGACAAAUAAACGAAACGGGGUCUGGCGAAUUAACGAUUUCCGUCUUCCGCCUGCGAAGCUGGAACCAUCUUCGCUGUGCAAGGCGAGCUGAAACAACAACCCAGCACUGCACAAACAGGCCGGACUCCUUCUCAUUGUUGUGCGACUUGUCGCGGAAUAACAGGCCGCUGUUUGUGUUCCCUGGAGUAGGAAGGAGCCGUGGCAACGACAAUGAGCCCCGCCGGCGGGCUACGCGCCCCCCCACUCCCUGCUACAUUAUAGCCGCUUUAUUGCUGUUUAAGGUCACCCAGAGACAAGCAACUGCAUCCUAUAUCAGGAAGCAGAGCGCCUCUCAGGGGUGAAAUACUCGCCCCUGACAAGGGGCUGCGGCCGUGAGUCGGACAUCCUGGGCAGUAAGUGCAUGUCAGGCAGGCUCCAGGCUUUCGGUCCAGCAACGCUGGAGAGAAUGACCCAGAAUAAUGGCCCCCUUCCUGCCAUUCUCAGCACCGGGCAGUAUUUCUAUCAGGGCUUCUGAAAGCCACCCCCCCACCCCCCGUGGGGCCAGCGACGCCAUUCUGGGCCAAUGAAUGGACCUAAAAGGCCAGGCUCAGACCCACGGAAGCUUCACCGGCUCCGUGUCUACAGGUGGCCUGGAGUCAGUCCCGGAAAAGAGAGACAGGUCUAUUCCCAGUUUCUCGCAGGGCAAUCUCUGGCUUGCUGAUGGCUUUCUUAAAGGCAUGAACGUCUGAACAGAAGCAUGAGGACCUCAUCGUUGCGAAGGUACCUUCUGCUCUACUGUUUCCUGACCAGUGACACAGAAAUCCUCCGAUCUGAAAAAUCGUAUUCUGGUAAAACAAAACAGCGACUGAAUCAAGAAUUAUGUGAAACAUUCUCAGAGAUCCGCAACAGGAAAUGACAUCAAUGUCCUCGCAAGGAACUAAAUUAUUGUGAAGCUUUUCAGCUAUUGUGAGUCUAGUUCCUCAACCAUUGCACCACCUGGUGGUCAUGUAAAAUGGUUAUAAGAAUCCAGCUCAAUAGAGAGGAAUAUAACUUGAGUAACAUACCACAGGUGUGUGUAUACGGUGGCUUCCUGUUGAACCUCAUGAACGCACUCUCUCCUGUCUGGAGACACCAGGCUGUGUGACCUGUUCAAACAAUCAGCGGCAGGGGGGGAGGAAAUAAUCAGAGGCACCAAACAUGACCUGUGACACCACGACCCCCGUCUGCGGUUCACAGAGUGCUGUAGAUGCAGGGUGUGGCACAGAGGGCCAAACGUAGAAGCUGUUUUUAAUGAGGCCUGCAGGAUGUGUCAAUUUGGACCGUGAUGCACGCUGAGCACGACUAGCAAGAAGUGUUGUAGUGAGAGACCAGUUUGCUGCCAGAGGUUAUACAGCAGUAUGAUACAGGAUGCCGGGGUCCUACACACAAAUGGGGUGGGGCAUAGGGGGGGCGGUUCAACACCUAGGGGUCAGGGUGCGACGAGAGGGACGCUUAAAAGAGGGUGUGUCGUUCACAGUGUCAGCACCCUGUGAAGAAACAAGGACCUUUCUCAAGGGCCCGGCAGAGAUUAACCCUUUAGAAAAUCGACUGCAGUCCCUGGCAAGGAACCUGCCCGCCACAGGAAGCAAACUCUUCAGACUGCCGGCAGCCAGCCCUCGUGGCACCAGCCAGCGCCUGAGAUCCUCUCCUCGGCCCACAAGGGCGAGACCAGGGGCCACGUGACCGCAAGGAGUCGCAAGGCUGCCGCGGAUCCAGGAAGGGCAUCCACUCCCGCCGUUAUCAGGGCAAGACCGACGGCCAGCCACAACACUGAUACCCAGAGUCGCGGCUACGGGGGAAACAAUGGUUGGCCAGAUGAAAGGACCUUGGAAGCAGGGUCAGCGAUGAUGUCAUGGAUGUGGAAUGGUGGGAUCUCUCCUCGGCUCUUCGCUGCCCUCCCGGCUGUUGCGUGCGUUUCCACGCCGAAGAGAUGUCCUGCUGCCAGGCCUGGCCCCCAUCCUCAGGCCUGGCCCCCGUCCUCAGGCCUGGCCCCCGUCCUCAUGCCUGGCCCCCAUCCUCAUGCCUGGCCCCCGUCCUCAGGCCUGGCCCCCAUCCUCAGGCCUGGCCCCCGUCCUCAGGCCUGGCCCCCAUCCUCAGGCCUGGCCCCCAUCCUCAGGCCUGGCCCCCUCCUCAGGCCUGGCCUCCUCCUCAGG
Molecule: long non-coding RNA, 3803 nt
Organism: Brienomyrus brachyistius
Lineage: Eukaryota; Metazoa; Chordata; Actinopteri; Osteoglossiformes; Mormyridae
Exons: 7
Source: RefSeq, a predicted model, not a curated record